Molecule: RNA transcript, 2433 nt
Organism: Phyllopteryx taeniolatus (common seadragon)
Lineage: Eukaryota; Metazoa; Chordata; Actinopteri; Syngnathiformes; Syngnathidae
Gene: sco2
Gene name: protein SCO2 homolog, mitochondrial
Exons: 5
Source: RefSeq, a predicted model, not a curated record
GGCGGUAAUGCGCAUGUGCAGUGGUUGUCAAACACGAUUUAACACGAAGAAGAAGAAGAAGACGAAGACGAAGAAGAAGAAACGGCAGCAGCAGCAGCAGCUCUCAGCUAGCAUCGUGCUAAAUGUCAGCUAACAGUCAAUGAGUCUUCUUUUUGUUGUUUUUUUAUGCACCUGGAUGCUUGUGUAAGAUUCUCCCGGAAGUGACACGCUCAGGAUGUUGGCACUCAGGUGCAUUUCGGGAGAUCUGCGUGGACAUCUGCGGCCGCCGAGGACGUCGCGUGAAGUUCCGCGUGAACUUUUGGCCCGACCCCCUCCGCCGACUCCCGCCCGCCUCUUGUCCCGAGGCGAGCCAUCGCCGGCCAAGUUGAAGCUGAGGACGCGCGUGGCCGUGACUCUGCUGGUGGGCGGCGGGCUGCUGGCGUUGUGGGCGCGGCUCGGCGCCGAGAAGCGGCAGAAGGAGCGGCGGGUGCGCGCCGAGCAGCUGCGGCGGGCGGCGUUGGGUCGGGGCGACUUCAGCCUGGUGGACCACCACGGGCGGCGCCGCAGCAAGCGAGACUUCCUGGGCCGCUGGGUCCUCCUCUACUUCGGCUUCACGCGCUGUCCCGACAUCUGCCCCGACGAGCUGGACAAGAUGAGCGCGGCCGUGACCGACCUGGACCUGGACGCGUCCCUGCCGCCCGUGCAGCCGCUUUUCAUCACCGUCGACCCCGAGCGCGACCACGUGGAUGCGCUGGCCCGCUACGUCAAAGACUUCCAUCCUCGCCUGGUGGGCCUGACCGGCACGGCGGAGGAGGUGAAGGAGGCGGGCCGCGACUACCGCGUGUACGCCAGCCGCGGCCCCCCGGACGAGGACGGCGACUACCUGGUGGACCACUCCGUCCUCAUCUACCUCGUCAGCCCGCAAGGACUCUUCGUGGACUACUACAACCGCCUCAAAGACAAGGAGCACAUCGUGCGCAGCGUGCGCCGGCACAUGGGCGAACACGACGAGCUGCGGCGCUCGUGAUGACGCUGUGACCAAAGCUGCGGUCCUGAAGUCCUCCCGCUGGGGCCGCGCGGCCGCCCGCUUCCUCUUGCCGUUGUCGUCCAGACCGCCGGGAAUCUUGUAGGGCUUUCCUGCACCGGCGAGAGGACAAGUCCGGUCUACCGCCGACCAGACCGCGUGACCCCCGCCCUCCUACCUGACUCAAAAGGAGGAAUCAGAGAGACUGGAGGGAGGGGGGCCACGUCCACCAGCUGCAACACGACGACAACAACAACACAAACUUUGACUGACGGGCGACACAAGCCAACUGGGGGGUGCGCCGUUGGGUGUGCGUCUGUGUCCAUUUGUUUCUAGGCGCAAGUGUGUGUGCGUUUGAGAAGGUCUAACCACGUUGGAUUCGGGCCUGUCCACCCACUCGGCUGUUUCGAUGUCCACUUCGCAAAACUGCAGCAACAACAACAAGUAAGAAGAGUCGAGCAGUUGACAAGCACAUAGCACCUCCCGUUUCUAACCGAAUCGUCGUCGUCGUCGUCAUCAGGGUGCGCCGCCGCUCUGCCCGCGUUGUCGCCCGGCGCCGCUUGUUUGCUUUGCCUGUCGGGAGGAAGGCGGUGGGAAAAAGUCAGAGGAAGUUUCAAAAGUGGACGUGAAGCGUUGCUCACUUCUUGUUGCGGUCUCGUAUGUAGUCCAGCGUUUGGUAGACCAGGUUGUGCAGCAUCUCCACCUGCAGACACAUCACCGUCAUCCUCGUCAGUCACGAUUGAAAAUUGUUGCGCGAACUGCUGGGAGUGAACGUAACUCAUUCACCUCAACACAACCACAGACGACGUUGGGAUGAUGCGCUUUGUAAUUAUUUGGAUUUGAUUCUAUUCACUUUUCCACUGGGAACAAUGUAAAUGUUUAGAUUAAAAGUGACAAAGAAAAGUUACAACAUAUUCAAGUUAAGGAAAUAUUCGCUGGGGGUUUGGUUUGAGCUGUCAUUUGUGUGGUGCGAGAUAUACUUUUUCUCUGCCUUUACUGGUCGUUUGUACUUUCUCUUGAGGUCAUCAACCUCAUUCGAGAAAGCAAAAGGUUGAAGUUGACAAUGGAGCCCGGUGGCGUGCAGGCGGAUCGUCAUGUUCCGGUUUACCUUCUUGCUGUAUAUGCAAGCAGAACCUUGGAUGAGCAACGCCGCCUCGGCAAAGUUCAGUUUGGUUUUUCCUUCGUCGAACGUCAGGCACAGCUCGUCCAGCUACGACACACGCCGCACGUUUGUAACGACAUCAUCCUUGUUUGUUAUUGUUAUUUGUUUUUGUGUCAAGCGAUCGCACCUCCUCCAGGUAGUCGUUGAGCUCGGCCGCCAAGUCGAUGUCCCAGUUCUUGGAGAGCUCCCGGAUGGGCUGCUGCAAGUGAGCGAAUCGGCUCGCUGUGGACUCCAUGGCCGCAGUACACAGCGGGACCGCCAGGUGACG